RNAcentral lists this ribosomal RNA (374 nucleotides) under uncultured organism. RNAcentral describes it as "bacterial SSU rRNA". It matches the Rfam family "Bacterial small subunit ribosomal RNA", at positions 526 to 896 of the family's 1533-position model. The record is from RNAcentral.
CGUAGGGAGCAAGCGUUGUUCGGAUUUACUGGGCGUAAAGGGCGCGUAGGCGGCAAUUCAAGUCACUUGUGAAAUCUCCGGGCUUAACUCGGAACGGUCAAGUGAUACUGCUUUGCUAGAGUGCGGAAGGGGCAAUCGGAAUUCUCGGUGUAGCGGUGAAAUGCGUAGAUAUCGAGAGGAACACCUGAGGUGAAGACGGGUUGCUGGGCCGACACUGACGCUGACAGCGCGAAAGCCAGGGGAGCAAACGGGAUUAGAUACCCCGGUAGUCCUGGCCCUAAACGAUGAAUACUUGGUGUCUGGAGUUAUUAGUGCUCCGGGUGCCGUCGCUAACAUUUUUAGUAUUCCGCCUGGGGAGUACGCUCGCAAGAGUG